RNAcentral lists this ribosomal RNA (620 nucleotides) under Ectopseudomonas oleovorans. Its description in RNAcentral is "bacterial SSU rRNA". It matches the Rfam family "Bacterial small subunit ribosomal RNA", at positions 127 to 742 of the family's 1533-position model. The record is from RNAcentral. Lineage: Bacteria; Pseudomonadati; Pseudomonadota; Gammaproteobacteria; Pseudomonadales; Pseudomonadaceae.
UGCCUGGUAGUGGGGGAUAACGUUCCGAAAGGAACGCUAAUACCGCAUACGUCCUACGGGAGAAAGCAGGGGACCUUCGGGCCUUGCGCUAUCAGAUGAGCCUAGGUCGGAUUAGCUAGUUGGUGAGGUAAUGGCUCACCAAGGCGACGAUCCGUAACUGGUCUGAGAGGAUGAUCAGUCACACUGGAACUGAGACACGGUCCAGACUCCUACGGGAGGCAGCAGUGGGGAAUAUUGGACAAUGGGCGAAAGCCUGAUCCAGCCAUGCCGCGUGUGUGAAGAAGGUCUUCGGAUUGUAAAGCACUUUAAGUUGGGAGGAAGGGCAGUAAGUUAAUACCUUGCUGUUUUGACGUUACCGACAGAAUAAGCACCGGCUAACUUCGUGCCAGCAGCCGCGGUAAUACGAAGGGUGCAAGCGUUAAUCGGAAUUACUGGGCGUAAAGCGCGCGUAGGUGGUUCGUUAAGUUGGAUGUGAAAGCCCCGGGCUCAACCUGGGAACUGCAUCCAAAACUGGCGAGCUAGAGUACGGUAGAGGGUGGUGGAAUUUCCUGUGUAGCGGUGAAAUGCGUAGAUAUAGGAAGGAACACCAGUGGCGAAGGCGACCACCUGGACUGAUACUG